Molecule: long non-coding RNA, 648 nt
Filed under: Daphnia pulex (common water flea)
Lineage: Eukaryota; Metazoa; Arthropoda; Branchiopoda; Diplostraca; Daphniidae
Description: uncharacterized LOC124194048
Source: RNAcentral
GCUCAGCCAACUUACACGGAAGGUAUACUCGAGAUAUCCUAUUUGUAAUUUCCUCUAAUAUGCUCUUGUUUCAUUAUUAAAUGCUUGAUUUUAAUUGCAGGUUUUGAGAAAAUUGUAAAAAAGUCGGUGAGGGACACAUUGAAACAAAACGACACAUUAACAAAUUUUAUGGACAAACUUGUCAUAAUGGAUGGAAAGUUGAAUAAUCUCACCCUAGCUGAUGUUCUACCAGCAGCAGAAAAUCCCACUUUUUAAAUCGCACCCUUGAAGGAAGUAGAAGAAAUCAAAGGGUUGGAACAACAAUUACUGGGCAAAGAGAAUUAUUAUCAAUUGGUCAGGUUGAUCCGUUCACUAGGAGGUGCGUCGUUAGUAACUGUUUACAAUGGGCUUGGAAAUCAGUUUUUUUCGAUCAAAGUUAUGGCCUAUGUAAACUGGGAAGGAAAAGCAAAAAAGGGAUCGAUACAAAACAUGGUCUUCAGCAUUCAAUGAUUACUACAGCCGUGUUUGAGGGUAUUCAAACCGCUUCCCGUAAGCCAAACAAAUUUGAAAUGGAAAAUGAUACAAGGAAAAUAAUGAAGGGAAUCCCAGAUAAAUACCGAAGCAUACGUUUAACAGAAAAUCAAGAUGGAAUGGAUGUCGACCACGGAC